CAAGUCGCAGGGUAACAUGAGGAAAGCUUGCUUUCCUUGAUGACGACUGGCGCACGGGUGAGUAACGCGUAUCCAACCUUCCCAUAACUACGGGAUAACCCGUUGAAAGACGGCCUAAUACCGUAUGAUAUCGUUUGCUGACAUCAAAUAACGAUUAAAGGUUUAGCGGUUAUGGAUGGGGAUGCGUCUGAUUAGCUUGUUGGCGGGGUAACGGCCCACCAAGGCUACGAUCAGUAGGGGUUCUGAGAGGAAGGUCCCCACAUUGGAACUGAGACACGGUCCAAACUCC
Molecule: ribosomal RNA, 289 nt
Filed under: uncultured Prevotella sp.
Lineage: Bacteria; Pseudomonadati; Bacteroidota; Bacteroidia; Bacteroidales; Prevotellaceae
Description: partial 16S ribosomal RNA
Rfam family: Bacterial small subunit ribosomal RNA
Source: RNAcentral